Molecule: ribosomal RNA, 478 nt
Filed under: uncultured bacterium
Lineage: Bacteria
Description: partial 16S ribosomal RNA
Rfam family: Bacterial small subunit ribosomal RNA
Source: RNAcentral
GACGAACGCUGGCGGCGUGCUUAACACAUGCAAGUCGAACGGUAAGGCCCUUCGGGGUACACGAGUGGCGAACGGGUGAGUAACACGUGGGUGAUCGGCCCUGCGCUUCGGGAUAAGCCUGGGAGACUGGGUGUAAUACCGGAUAGGACCCUGGGAUGCAUGUCCCGGGGUGGAAAGCGUUUGCGGUGUGAGAUGGGCCCGCGGCCUAUCAGCUUGUUGGGGGGGUGAUGGCCUACCAAGGCGGCGACGGGAAGCCGGCCUGAGGGGGUGACCGGCCACACUGGGACUGAGAUACGGCCCAGGCUCCUACGGGAGGCAGCGGUGGGGAAGAUUGCACAAUGGGCGCAAGGCUGAUGCAGCGAGGCCGCGUAAGGGAUGACGGCCUUCGGGUUGUAAACCUCUUUCAGCACCGACGAAGCGCAAGUGACGGUAGGUGCAGAAGAAGGACCGGCCAACUACGUGCCAGCCGCCGCCGUAA